AGAGUUUGAUCAUGGCUCAGGAUGAACGCUAGCGGCAGGCUUAAUACAUGCAAGUCGUGGGGCAGCAGGGUGUAGCAAUACAUUGCUGGCGACCGGCAAACGGGUGCGUAACACGUACGCAACUUUCCUUUAGGCGGGGAAUAGCCCAGAGAAAUUUGGAUUAAUACCCCCAUAAUAUUUUGAGAUGGCAUCAUCUUAUUAUUAAAGCUUCGGCACCUAAAGAUGGGCGUGCGGCUGAUUAGGUAGUUGGCGGGGUAACGGCCCACCAAGCCUACGAUCAGUAGCUGAUGUGAGAGCAUGAUCAGCCACACGGGCACUGAGACACGGGCCCGACUCCUACGGGAGGCAGCAGUAAGGAAUAUUGGUCAAUGGACGAAAGUCUGAACCAGCCAUGCCGCGUGGAGGAUGAAGGUCCUCUGGAUUGUAAACUUCUUUUAUUUGGGACGAAAAAAGGGAAUUCUUUCUCACUUGACGGUACCAGAUGAAUAAGCACCGGCUAACUCCGUGCCAGCAGCCGCGGUAAUACGGAGGGUGCAAGCGUUAUCCGGAUUCACUGGGUUUAAAGGGUGUGUAGGCGGGCAGAUAAGUCAGUGGUGAAAUCCCCGAGCUUAACUUGGGAACUGCCAUUGAUACUAUUUGUCUUGAAUGUCGUGGAGGUUAGCGGAAUAUGUCAUGUAGCGGUGAAAUGCUUAGAUAUGACAUAGAACACCCAUUGCGAAGGCAGCUAACUACGCGAAUAUUGACGCUGAGGCACGAAAGCGUGGGGAUCAAACAGGAUUAGAUACCCUAGUAGUCC
Molecule: ribosomal RNA, 796 nt
Filed under: uncultured bacterium
Lineage: Bacteria
Description: bacterial SSU rRNA
Rfam family: Bacterial small subunit ribosomal RNA
Source: RNAcentral